AAUACGUGAAUGACAAAUUAAAUUUUUUUUCUUGAUUUUUAGCUUUUUCCUUCUCAAACAAUUCAAAUCCAACUGAAAAUGUUAAAAAUCAAGAGGAAAAAUCUAAUUUAUUAUUCUCCUAUU
This 123-nucleotide microRNA precursor is filed under the name Gossypium hirsutum (cotton). RNAcentral describes it as "MIR7504 microRNA precursor family". It matches the Rfam family "MIR7504 microRNA precursor family". The record is from Rfam by way of RNAcentral. Lineage: Eukaryota; Viridiplantae; Streptophyta; Magnoliopsida; Malvales; Malvaceae.